GCCGGAAGGACAUUUUUGAAUUUCUGAAAGGGGUUGUAGCUUGGCCUUUCAUGAGGCAUGUGCACGCUCUGCUCAUCCAUUCUACACUUGUGCACACUCUGUGGGUCGGUUUGAAUUGAUUCUUUCAGGAGAAUUGUUUGGCCUUCCUAUGUUUUAUUAUACAUACUCCAAGUUAAAGAAUGUAAUCUGCGUUUUAACGCAUCUUAUACAACUUUCAGCAACGGAUCUCUUGGCUCUCGCAUCGAUGAAGAACGCAGCGAAAUGCGAUAAGUAAUGUGAAUUGCAGAAUUCAGUGAAUCAUCGAAUCUUUGAACGCACCUUGCACUCCUUGGUAUUCCGAGGAGUAUGCCUGUUUGAGUGUCAUGGAAUUCUCAACUCUCUUACCUUUGUUGGUAGGCAGAGCUUGGACUUGGAGGUUUUUGCUGGCUCUUAUUGAAUCAGCUCCUCUUGAAUGUAUUAGCUUGAAUCCUUGUGGAACGGCUCUUCGGUGUGAUAAUUGUCUAUGCCGUUGGCUGUGAAGCUUUAUGCACCCUUGGGUGUGAGGAUUGGCUUCUAAUAGUCUUUAAAUGGACAAUCUUUGACUUCUGGCCUCAAAUCAGGUAGGAUUACCCGCUGAACUUAAGCAUAUCAAUAAGCGGAGGAAAAGAAACUAACAAGGAUUCCCCUAGUAACUGCGAGUGAAGCGGGAAAAGCUCAAAUUUAAAAUCUGGUGGUCUCUCUGGCCAUCCGAGUUGUAGUUUGGAGAAGUGCUUUUCCGUGUUGGACCCGUGUACAAGUCUCUUGGAACAGAGCGUCAUAGAGGGUGAGAAUCCCGUCUUUGACACGGACUACCAAUGCUUUGUGAUGUGCUCUCAAAGAGUCGAGUUGUUUGGGAAUGCAGCUCAAAUGGGUGGUAAAUUCCAUCUAAGCUAAAUAUUGGCGAGAGACCGAUAGCGACAGUACUG
This 944-nucleotide ribosomal RNA is filed under the name Amyloporia xantha. Its description in RNAcentral is "eukaryotic LSU rRNA". The stretch from base 586 to 944 matches the Rfam family "Eukaryotic large subunit ribosomal RNA", at positions 1 to 353 of the family's 3401-position model. Lineage: Eukaryota; Fungi; Basidiomycota; Agaricomycetes; Polyporales; Adustoporiaceae. The record is from RNAcentral.